Molecule: ribosomal RNA, 406 nt
Filed under: uncultured Eubacterium sp.
Lineage: Bacteria; Bacillati; Bacillota; Clostridia; Eubacteriales; Eubacteriaceae
Description: bacterial SSU rRNA
Rfam family: Bacterial small subunit ribosomal RNA
Source: RNAcentral
UGGGGAAUAUUGCGCAAUGGGGGCAACCCUGACGCAGCAAUACCGCGUGAGUGAAGAAGGUUUUCGGAUCGUAAAGCUCUGUUAUUGGGGAAGAAAACAUGACGGUACCCAAUGAGGAAGUCCCGGCUAACUACGUGCCAGCAGCCGCGGUAAUACGUAGGGGACAAGCGUUGUCCGGAAUGACUGGGCGUAAAGGGCGCGUAGGCGGUCUAUUAAGUCUGAUGUGAAAGGUACCGGCUCAACCGGUGAAGUGCAUUGGAAACUGGUAGACUUGAGUAUUGGAGAGGCAAGUGGAAUUCCUAGUGUAGCGGUGAAAUGCGUAGAUAUUAGGAGGAACACCAGUGGCGAAGGCGGCUUGCUGGACAAAUACUGACGCUGAGGUGCGAAAGCGUGGGGAGCGAACAGG